ACAAGUGAUUAAUACAAUGUGUCCUAUCAUAUUUCAAAUGCUCAAGACUCUCUACGUUGUUCUCAUUAUUAUCAAUUUAAUAAUAUUCCAACCCUUUUCACUCCAAUUUUGGUUUAAUUAAGAUUGUUCACCAAUUUGUUCUGACGACUCGAAACCUUGCACAUACGGGUUUGAUAUGAGCUUUCUUCGUAUUCUGUAUGUUUGUGUAUUUACUUGGUUGGGUGUACACACUUACACGGGUUAGCAAGUAGUAAAUUGACAUCAAACAAGCUCACUUGUUUUAUCCAAUUUGUUUAUUAAAAAGCUUUAUAUAACACCAUAUUCAACAGGAUGGAAUUUUAUUUUUCAUAAAAAAAUUAUAAAAACGUUUUUAGAUACAUUUUCGUUUUCAUAAAACAUUUUUUUAUAAAAACUUUUUUUAGAAGUUUGGUAAAUAAGUUUUCCACCAACAAACUUUUAGGGAAAAACACAAUAAUCUAAACAUAAUGCAUCUUCAAAAACUGAAUACCAUAUUAUGUUGCAUUUUUAGGGAUUUUAAGUUUAAAAAUACGUUUAUAGAUAAUAUUAGUUAGUUGAAAAAGAUACAGGUUAUUUAAUUCGUUGGUUGUAUAAUUCAUUAGUUGUUUUCACUUCAAGAAAUUUCGUGUUCUUUAGAUAUAGUAUAAUUCAUUAGUUUUUUUCGCAUCAAGAAAUUUCUUAUUCUUUAGAAUUCUUGGUUUACAGGUAAUUCAAUUUUCUGUUGUAUAUAACUUUGAUUUAUUCUUCUAUGCUCACACUUAAUAUUCAUCUUAUUUAUUAUUUAGUAGUUUUGGAGCUUCAAUAUUCAUCCCUUGAGAUCUUUACACAGUUCCCAAACUGCUCUGGCUACUACUAGCUACUACGUAAGUAUCAGUUAAAGAGGAGAACAGAGAAGAAACUCAUCCUCCAAAGGAUGUAAAAAUCAAACAGGAAGAGAUACAAGAAAUUCUGAAGGACACUGAUCUCGAUGAUGACAAAUGGUGGUGUAACAAAAAUAGAUGAUAUCCUUGAGAUGUUUAAGCCGUAUGAUCUUAUCAUGAUGCAAAGUACUUGACACUUGAGCUUUUAGUUUUCAACUUUUAUAUUUAAGACUUAUAUUUCUU
This 1121-nucleotide long non-coding RNA is filed under the name Helianthus annuus (common sunflower). RNAcentral describes it as "hypothetical non coding rna". The record is from RNAcentral. Lineage: Eukaryota; Viridiplantae; Streptophyta; Magnoliopsida; Asterales; Asteraceae.